Molecule: ribosomal RNA, 492 nt
Filed under: uncultured bacterium
Lineage: Bacteria
Description: partial 16S ribosomal RNA
Rfam family: Bacterial small subunit ribosomal RNA
Source: RNAcentral
AGUGGACGCUGGCGGUAGGCCUAACACAUGCAAGUCGAACGGCAGCACAGUAAGAGCUUGCUCUUACGGGUGGCGAGUGGCGGACGGGUGAGGAAUACAUCGGAAUCUACUUUUUCGUGGGGGAUAACGUAGGGAAACUUACGCUAAUACCGCAUACGACCUACGGGUGAAAGCAGGGGAUCUUCGGACCUUGCGCGAUUGAAUGAGCCGAUGUCGGAUUAGCUAGUUGGCGGGGUAAAGGCCCACCAAGGCGACGAUCCGUAGCUGGUCUGAGAGGAUGAUCAGCCACACCGGAACUGAGACACGGUCCAGACUCCUACGGGAGGCAGCAGUGGGGAAUAUUGGACAAUGGGCGCAAGCCUGAUCCAGCCAUACCGCGUGGGUGAAGAAGGCCUUCGGGUUGUAAAGCCCUUUUGUUGGGAAAGAAAAGCAGCAGGUUAAUACCCCGCUGUUCUGACGGUACCCAAAGAAUAAGCACCGGCUAACUUCGUG